CCUACGGGAGGCAGCAGUGGGGAAUUUUGGACAAUGGGCGCAAGCCUGAUCCAGCCAUGCCGCGUGCGGGAAGAAGGCCUUCGGGUUGUAAACCGCUUUUGUCAGGGAAGAAACGGUUUGGGCUAAUAUCCCGAACUAAUGACGGUACCNAAGAA
RNAcentral lists this ribosomal RNA (155 nucleotides) under uncultured beta proteobacterium. RNAcentral's name for it is "partial 16S ribosomal RNA". It matches the Rfam family "Bacterial small subunit ribosomal RNA", at positions 338 to 485 of the family's 1533-position model. The record is from RNAcentral. Lineage: Bacteria; Pseudomonadati; Pseudomonadota; Betaproteobacteria.